CCUUAACUGACGCUAAAGCUCGAAGGUGCGGGUAUCGAACAGGAUUAGAUACCCUGGUAGUCCGCACGGUAAACGAUGGAUGCCCGCUGUUUGCGAUAUACUGUGAGCGGCCAAGAGAAAUCGUUAAGCAUCCCACCUGGGGAGUACGCCGGCAACGGUGAAACUCAAAGGAAUUGACGGGGGCCCGCACAAGCGGAGGAACAUGUGGUUUAAUUCGAUGAUACGCGAGGAACCUUACCCGGGCUUGAACUGCAGGAGAACGAUUCAGAGAUGAUGAGGCCCUUCGGGGCUCCUGUGGAGGUGCUGCAUGGUUGUCGUCAGCUCGUGCCGUGAGGUGUCGGCUUAAGUGCCAUAACGAGCGCAACCCUUUUCGUUAGUUGCCAUCAGGUAAUGCUGGGCACUCUGGUGAUACUGCCACCGUAAGGUGUGAGGAAGGUGGGGAUGACGUCAAAUCAGCACGGCCCUUACGUCCGGGGCUACACACGUGUUACAAUGGGAGGUACAGAGAGUCGGAUGUACGCAAGUACAUUCUAAUCCUAAAAGCCUUCCUCAGUUCGGAUUGGGGUCUGCAACCCGACCCCAUGAAGCUGGAUCGCUAGUA
Molecule: ribosomal RNA, 601 nt
Filed under: uncultured bacterium
Lineage: Bacteria
Description: bacterial SSU rRNA
Rfam family: Bacterial small subunit ribosomal RNA
Source: RNAcentral